GACGAACGCUGGCGGCGUGCCUAAUACAUGCAAGUAGAACGCACAGUUUAUACCGUAGCUUGCUACACCAUAGACUGUGAGUUGCGAACGGGUGAGUAACGCGUAGGUAACCUGCCUGGUAGCGGGGGAUAACUAUUGGAAACGAUAGCUAAUACCGCAUAAUAUUAAUUAUUGCAUGAUAAUUAAUUGAAAGGUGCAAUUGCACCACUACCUGAUGGACCUGCGUUGUAUUAGCUAGUAGGUGAGGUAACGGCUCACCUAGGCGACGAUACAUAGCCGAACUGAGAGGGUGGUCGGCCGCCCUGGGAGUGAGACACGGCCCAGACGCCUACGGGAGGCAGCAGGAGGGAAUCUGCGGCAAGGGGCGAGAGUCUGACCGAGCAACGCCGCGUGAGUGAAGAAGAUUUUCGGAUCGUAAAGCUCUGUUGUAAGAGAAGAACGGGUGUGAGAGUGGAAAGUUCACACUGUGACGGUAUCUUACCAGAAAGGGACGGCUAACUACGUG
RNAcentral lists this ribosomal RNA (505 nucleotides) under uncultured bacterium. RNAcentral's name for it is "partial 16S ribosomal RNA". It matches the Rfam family "Bacterial small subunit ribosomal RNA", at positions 28 to 507 of the family's 1533-position model. The record is from RNAcentral.